Pteropus alecto (black flying fox) is the source of this 73-nucleotide non-coding RNA. The record is from Rfam. NCBI's taxonomy places the organism in Eukaryota, Metazoa, Chordata, Mammalia, Chiroptera, Pteropodidae.
GGUUCCAUAGUGUAGUGAUUAGCGUGUCUGCUUUACAUGCAGAAGGUCCUGGGUUCGUAUCCCAGUGGAGCCA